CAGCCGCCACGGGAAUACGUAGGGUGCGAGCGUUAAUCGGAAUUACUGGGCGUAAAGCGUGCGCAGGCGGUUUGUUAAGACAGAUGUGAAAUCCCCGGGCUUAACCUGGGAACUGCAUUUGUGACUGGCCGGCUAGAGUAUGGCAGAGGGAGGUGGAAUUCCACGUGUAGCAGUGAAAUGCGUAGAUAUGUGGAGGAACACCGAUGGCGAAGGCAGCCUCCUGGGCCAAUACUGACGCUCAUGCACGAAAGCGUGGGGAGCAAACAGGAUUAGAUAACCCCGUAGUCCCUGUCUCUUAACA
This 301-nucleotide ribosomal RNA is filed under the name uncultured bacterium. Its description in RNAcentral is "partial 16S ribosomal RNA". It matches the Rfam family "Bacterial small subunit ribosomal RNA", at positions 509 to 808 of the family's 1533-position model. The record is from RNAcentral.